GACGAACGCUGGCGGCGUGCCUAAUACAUGCAAGUAGAACGCUGAAGGAGGAGCUUGCUCUUCUGGAUGAGUUGCGAACGGGUGAGUAACGCGUAGGUAACCUGCCUGGUAGCGGGGGAUAACUAUUGGAAACGAUAGCUAAUACCGCAUAAGAGUAGAUGUUGCAUGACAUUUACUUAAAAGGUGCAAUUGCAUCACUACCAGAUGGACCUGCGUUGUAUUAGCUAGUUGGUGGGGUAACGGCUUACCAAGGCGACGAUACAUAGCCGACCUGAGAGGGGGGUCGGCCACACUGGGACUGGGACACGGCCCAGACUCCUACGGGAAGCAGCAGUAGGGAAUCUUCGGGAAUGGACGGAAGUCUUACCGAGCAACGCCGCGUGAGUGAAGAAGGUUUUCGGAUCGUAAAGCUCUGUUGUAAGGGAAGAACGAGUGUGGGAGUGGAAAGUUCACACUGUGACGGUAUCUUACCAGAAAGAGACGGCUAACUACGUG
Molecule: ribosomal RNA, 495 nt
Filed under: uncultured bacterium
Lineage: Bacteria
Description: partial 16S ribosomal RNA
Rfam family: Bacterial small subunit ribosomal RNA
Source: RNAcentral